Monomorium pharaonis (pharaoh ant) is the source of this 867-nucleotide long non-coding RNA. RefSeq lists it as uncharacterized. The transcript is spliced from 2 exons. The record is from RefSeq and is a predicted model, not a curated record. NCBI's taxonomy places the organism in Eukaryota, Metazoa, Arthropoda, Insecta, Hymenoptera, Formicidae.
GGAAUAAAUGUAGAGUUAUGGAAUUCGCGAUAUCUCGUACACUUUGUGUUGAGUUCUGGGGAUAACUGUCCGAAUUACUUCUUUACAUACUGUUUAGUCGUUAUAAUGUGACCACUGGUCAUUAAUGUUUGUUUUGUUGUUAUGAAAGCUGCAUUUUAGUAUCGCAAGUAACCAAAAGUUCUACAGCUGUCUAUUCUUGACUUCAUUUUGAGAACCGCGAUGCUAGCACCAUCAAAGUUGUACUAAAAAAAUCUUUGGAGGGGGGUAAGGAUCUUCAGUGCACAAGGCCAGCCUGAUCCGUUUGUUCGACUCUAAACGCCAGCCAGAUAAAAUUCAAAUAGGACGUUUUCGACCCAUAGGUAAGGAUUACGUAAGUAAAAAUGACUUUCAAAAAAUAAUUUUUUUUGUUAAUUAAGUAUUUUCGGACACGUACAUGCAUUUUAGAACAUAAUUAUGUAUAUAUUUUAAGUUAAAUUUUUCAGUAAAUUGUUAAUUAUGUUCGUUAUGUAUCCAAAGAACAUCUACUUAUAACAUGAUUGGUAUAACUCUAUGUGUAACAAACUUGUACCAAUAAGAAUUGUGUUACACAACUUUUCACUGAAUUAUUUAAAUAAAACAAAAUGAUGAUUUGCAACCCUCUUUUCUCCUCUACUAAUAUAUUUAUAUAUUUAUGUACUAAUAUAUUUAUCUUGUGAUAAAUUAACUCAAAAAUUGGAGUAAAUUGUUGGGACAUGUAAUAUAUGUUAAAUUUAACACAAAUUUUCUCUGUAUUAUUAAUAUUUUAUUUGUGUGUGUAUUUGUAAUAAUAUUGCAUUUGUAUGUAUUUAUAAAACGAACAUGUAAAGAAACACGAAAUUAUGAAUGGAA